AUAACAGUUGGCGUGAUCUCUGCGCAGUAAAAGAUGCUGAGCGUGCUGACGGCAUGAGAUGAGAACAUUCCAAUGAUGGAGAACGCGUACGAGAACCGCCGAUUCAGGGUGUCUCUGAGAACUACAACAGAAGAGAGAACGCAAGCCAAGCUGCAGCAGAGAUGCCAGGGCUGUAAUGAUCAUGAAGGUUUCUGGUGCUCCUCAGUUGUGUUACACACCAGGUCUCAGGCGUCUGCUGCAGUUCUGCCUCCAGCUCUAAAAAAACACCUUCAUCAUCCUCAUCAUCGCCAUUAAGGUAAAGCACAUUCACUAAAAGCACC
This is a non-coding RNA of Misgurnus anguillicaudatus (oriental weatherfish), 320 nucleotides long. The record is from RefSeq and is a predicted model, not a curated record. NCBI's taxonomy places the organism in Eukaryota, Metazoa, Chordata, Actinopteri, Cypriniformes, Cobitidae.